AAUUUAUGUAGUAUAACAAUUAUUUUUGACUUCCAAUCAAAAGAUCUAUCAAUAGUAUAAAU
RNAcentral lists this transfer RNA (62 nucleotides) under Amarygmini sp. ACP-2013. RNAcentral's name for it is "tRNA-Gly". The record is from RNAcentral. Lineage: Eukaryota; Metazoa; Arthropoda; Insecta; Coleoptera; Tenebrionidae.